This 460-nucleotide ribosomal RNA is filed under the name uncultured bacterium. RNAcentral's name for it is "partial 16S ribosomal RNA". It matches the Rfam family "Bacterial small subunit ribosomal RNA", at positions 338 to 795 of the family's 1533-position model. The record is from RNAcentral.
CCUACGGGUGGCAGCAGUGAGGAAUAUUGGUCAAUGGACGAGAGUCUGAACCAGCCAAGUAGCGUGAAGGAUGACUGCCCUAUGGGUUGUAAACUUCUUUUAUAAGGGAAUAAAGUGAGGCACGUGUGCCUUUUUGUAUGUACUUUAUGAAUAAGGAUCGGCUAACUCCGUGCCAGCAGCCGCGGUAAUACGGAGGAUCCGAGCGUUAUCCGGAUUUAUUGGGUUUAAAGGGAGCGUAGGUGGGUUGUUAAGUCAGUUGUGAAAGUUUGCGGCUCAACCGUAAACUUGCAGUUGAUACUGGCAGUCUUGAGUACAGUUGAGGUAGGCGGAAUUCGUGGUGUAGCGGUGAAAUGCUUAGAUAUCACGAAGAACCCCGAUUGCGAAGGCAGCUUACUAGACUGUGACUGACACUGAGGCUCGAAAGUGUGGGUAUCAAACAGGAUUAGAUACCCUGGUAGUC